UGGGGAAUAUUGGACAAUGGGCGCAAGCCUGAUCCAGCCAUGCCGCGUGGGUGAAGAAGGCCCUAGGGUUGUAAAGCCCUUUCACCGGUGAAGAUAAUGACGGUAGCCGGAGAAGAAGCCCCGGCCAACUCCGUGCCAGCAGCCGCGGUAAUACGGAGGGGGCUAGCGUUGUUCGGAAUUACUGGGCGUAAAGCGCGCGUAGGCGGCUUUGCAAGUUGGAGGUGAAAGCCCAGGGCUUAACCCUGGAACUGCCUUCAAAACUGCAAGACUCGAGUCCGGGAGAGGUGAGUGGAAUUCCCAGUGUAGAGGUGAAAUUCGUAGAUAUUGGGAAGAACACCAGUGGCGAAGGCGGCUCACUGGUCCGGUACUGACGCUGAGGCGCGAAAGCGUGGGGAGCAAACAGGAUUAGAUACCCCCGUAGUCC
RNAcentral lists this ribosomal RNA (424 nucleotides) under uncultured prokaryote. RNAcentral's name for it is "bacterial SSU rRNA". It matches the Rfam family "Bacterial small subunit ribosomal RNA", at positions 355 to 796 of the family's 1533-position model. The record is from RNAcentral.